ACGCACGCUGGCGGCAUGCCUAACACAUGCAAGUCGAACGAGACCUUCGGGUCUAGUGGCGCACGGGUGCGUAACGCGUGGGAACCUGCCCUUAGGUUCGGAAUAACUCCCCGCAAGGGGUGCUAAUACCGGAUAAUGUCUUCGGACCAAAGAUUUAUCGCCUUUGGAUGGGCCCGCGUUGGAUUAGCUAGUUGGUAGGGUAAAAGCCUACCAAGGCGACGAUCCAUAGCUGGUCUGAGAGGAUGAUCAGCCACACUGGGACUGAGACACGGCCCAGACUCCUACGGGAGGCAGCAGUGGGGAAUAUUGGACAAUGGGCGAAAGCCUGAUCCAGCAAUGCCGCGUGAGUGAUGAAGGCCUUAGGGUUGUAAAGCUCUUUUACCCGGGAUGAUAAUGACAGUACCGGGAGAAUAAGCUCCGGCUAACUCCGUG
RNAcentral lists this ribosomal RNA (432 nucleotides) under uncultured bacterium. Its description in RNAcentral is "partial 16S ribosomal RNA". It matches the Rfam family "Bacterial small subunit ribosomal RNA", at positions 29 to 507 of the family's 1533-position model. The record is from RNAcentral.